CCAAUGACGCAGUCUGACCGCAGCCCGCCGCGUGAGUGAAGAAGGUUUUCGGAUCGUAAAACUCUGUUGUUAGAGAAGAAUGUUGCAUAGAGUGGAAAAUUAUGCAAGUGACGGUAUCUAACCAGAAAGGGACGGCUAACUACGUGCCAGCAGCCGCGGUAAUAA
This 165-nucleotide ribosomal RNA is filed under the name uncultured Lactococcus sp. Its description in RNAcentral is "partial 16S ribosomal RNA". It matches the Rfam family "Bacterial small subunit ribosomal RNA", at positions 369 to 526 of the family's 1533-position model. Lineage: Bacteria; Bacillati; Bacillota; Bacilli; Lactobacillales; Streptococcaceae. The record is from RNAcentral.